This 794-nucleotide ribosomal RNA is filed under the name uncultured bacterium. RNAcentral's name for it is "bacterial SSU rRNA". It matches the Rfam family "Bacterial small subunit ribosomal RNA", at positions 8 to 796 of the family's 1533-position model. The record is from RNAcentral.
AGAGUUUGAUCAUGGCUCAGAGCGAACGCUGGCGGCGUGCUUAACACAUGCAAGUCGAACGCGCAGUCCUUCCGCCGCAAGGCGUAGGGGCUGGCGCGUGGCGAACGGGUGCGUAACACGUGGAUAACCUUCCUUCUGGUGGGGAAUAACCCAGUGAAAAUUGGGCUAAUACCGCAUAACAUUACGAGGGCACAUGCUCUUGUAUUCAAAGCCGCAAGGCGCCGGCAGAGGGAUCCGCGGCCGAUUAGCUUGUUGGCGAGGUAACGGCUCACCAAGGCGAUGAUCGGUAGCCGGACUGAGAGGUUGGCCGGCCACACUGGAACUGAGACACGGUCCAGACUCCUACGGGAGGCAGCAGUGGGGAAUCUUGCGCAAUGGACGAAAGUCUGACGCAGCAACGCCGCGUGGGGGAUGAAGCUUCUCGGAGUGUAAACCCCUUUCGACCCGGACGAAUGCCCGCAAGGGUUUGACGGUACGGGUAUAAGAAGCCCCGGCUAACUACGUGCCAGCAGCCGCGGUAAAACGUAGGGGGCCAGCGUUGCUCGGAAUUACUGGGCGUAAAGGGUCCGUAGGCGGUGUGACAAGUCGGUAGUGAAAUCUCCGGGCUUAACUCGGAGGCUGCUGCCGAAACUGUUGUGCUAGAGUGUGAGAGAGGCGAGUGGAAUUACGGGUGUAGCGGUGAAAUGCGUAGAUAUCCGUAGGAACAUCCGAGGCGAAAGCGGCUCGCUAGAUCACAACUGACGCUGAGGGACGAAAGCCAGGGGAGCAAACAGGAUUAGAUACCCCCGUAGUCC